GAUGAACGCUAGCUACAGGCUUAACACAUGCAAGUCGAGGGGCAGCAUGAUUGAAGCUUGCUUCAAUCGAUGGCGACCGGCGCACGGGUGAGUAACACGUAUCCAACCUGCCGAUAACUCGGGGAUAGCCUUUCGAAAGAAAGAUUAAUACCCGAUAGUAUAGUAUUUCCGCAUGGUUUCACUAUUAAAGAACUUCGGUUAUCGAUGGGGAUGCGUUCCAUUAGAUAGUUGGCGGGGUAACGGCCCACCAAGUCAACGAUGGAUAGGGGUUCUGAGAGGAAGGUCCCCCACAUUGGAACUGAGACACGGUCCAAACUCCUACGGAAGGCAGCAGUGAGGAAUAUUGGUCAAUGGACGAGAGUCUGAACCAGCCAAGUAGCGUGAAGGAUGACUGCCCUAUGGGUUGUAAACUUCUUUUAUACGGGAAUAAAGUGGAGUAUGCAUACUCCUUUGUAUGUACCGUAUGAAUAAGGAUCGGCUAACUCCGUG
Molecule: ribosomal RNA, 489 nt
Filed under: uncultured bacterium
Lineage: Bacteria
Description: partial 16S ribosomal RNA
Rfam family: Bacterial small subunit ribosomal RNA
Source: RNAcentral